AUACACCUAAACUGUUUUGCAGGCGCUGCGUGGGCUGCCUUUGGAAUUAGAUGAGCAUUUGAGUUUUCUGUCUUUUGGUACCUUAGGUGCUACAAGCGAUGACGUCCGCAGCGUCCAACGCAGCGAUCGCUGUGGAGCAGAAAUUCAUAGGUACCUUUGAAGUGUAAGAAGAUAAGUGACGAUGGUGACCGGAGACCUUCUGCCUGUGACCACCAAUCUCAGAAGAGCCGAGACAUGAGAAUGGAGAAUGGAUGAGAUAAGAUGAUGAAUGAUAACGAUAUGAGAACAGAAAAUUGGCUGGAAAAUUACAGAGGCUUCAGCUGGAAAAUUACAGAGACUUUGGAUUGGGACAAUGGGUGGCAAAAGGGUAUAUAAGGUUUGGAAACUUUUGGAAGUGGGCCAUUCGCUGCGGUGGUGGCCCAACUCUGAGUUGUUAAUAAAGCAAACCUAGAGAAA
This is a long non-coding RNA of Aquila chrysaetos chrysaetos, 456 nucleotides long. RefSeq lists it as uncharacterized. The record is from RefSeq and is a predicted model, not a curated record. The transcript has 3 exons. NCBI's taxonomy places the organism in Eukaryota, Metazoa, Chordata, Aves, Accipitriformes, Accipitridae.